AGUGGGGCUAUGUUAUUGUAUUAUUAUUCUUUACAAAUAGGGUAUCUCCGCUGGUCUCGAGGCAUUUUUUCCUCCUUUGUUUGUCUUAUUGAAGAACUUUUGGUGGACGUUGUCUAGCGGCGAACAGCUGUUUUUAUGCCUAAAAAUCAUUGUGGGGUACCUAUAUUGAAUUACCUAGGACUGCCAGGAGUUCGAAUAGGCCAAGACAUUCAAUUUGAACAACACGGUAAAAAUUAACUUUGUGAACUGCUUUACGUCGUUGAAGAACUGAAUAUUGUUGCCACACAAGUCUGUAGCGUGGUGAAUUAAGUAGCUCAGCUGCGAGGUGGGGCUGUUUGUGUUUGGCUUGCCUGCAGUUUAGCAAAUUGAUUCACGUUUUAGUAAAUAAUUGUUUGCAUUGUGAAAAUUAUUUUGGGGGCGUAUCCCGCCUCCAAAAUGUAGAACUUUUUUGAUAAUUCGUAGAAGUCAAGACAGUGAUGUCCAGCGGUUAAAGGUGGUGACACAUUCAUAGACUUCUAGCUUGAACAAUCGUCCACAAAGUUUCGGUAAGUGCGAACAGUCGAUUGCAAUCUCUAUAUUACUUGAGUGGCACUUAUUUCUCGACUCCUGACUGAUUCAUAGGAAAUUCAAGUAGUGAGUUAUCAAAUUUUAGAGAUGCAACUGAACAUCACGAGGCGCGACGUUUUCUAGGAUCGAUCUACUGAUUCUGUUCGCCCACCACUAUCGCAUGUGAACUUGGACUUAACCAUUACUCGCAAGUGAAUAUAACAUGAUAAGCUGCAACAUGCUUUUGCUAAUUGUUUGACGGGGUCUAUGAAGCCGUGAAGAGACAUAUAUCAGCCCUUUUGCACUUAAUCUAGCAGAACAACGAGAAUAUGACACUGGGGGCGGGAGGAGAGUUGCUUCAGCACUCUUAACUGCUGAAGAGACAGAAUAAUGUAAGAUGGUGCGCCUUACCCAAACACACAACGCGGUUCCCGAUCCGGGAAUCAAGACCUCAGCCUUAUGAUUGCUUGAAACGCUGGGAGAACAAAAAAAAUUAGGUCAUGCACGCGCACACACUAAAUCAACAACAGAAAGAACAAAUGAAUCAACAAAUGUUACAGACCUUAAAGUAAACGCUGUCAUGGAUACUACGACUGUUAACAGCCCUGUCACCACCACCAACACCACAGAGACUACCACUGCUACCACCGCUACCACAGCCAAUACCAGCAACAACAAGUCACCGGCCGUCAACACCGACACCACAAUCUGCAAUUUUGCCAGUUUACUGAAAACGGCAAAGAAAACCAUUACAUUAACGG
This is a long non-coding RNA of Octopus bimaculoides (California two-spot octopus), 1307 nucleotides long. NCBI's taxonomy places the organism in Eukaryota, Metazoa, Mollusca, Cephalopoda, Octopoda, Octopodidae. The record is from RefSeq and is a predicted model, not a curated record.